This 327-nucleotide ribosomal RNA is filed under the name uncultured eukaryote. RNAcentral's name for it is "partial 18S ribosomal RNA". It matches the Rfam family "Eukaryotic small subunit ribosomal RNA", at positions 1470 to 1796 of the family's 1831-position model. The record is from RNAcentral.
CCCUUAGAUGUUCUGGGCCGCACGCGUGCUACACUGAGUGGAUCAGCGGGUCAGGUUGCGCGAAAGUGUUUCCUAAUCUUGAAAUCCGCUCGUGAUGGGGAUUGACGGUUGCAAUUUUCCGUCAUGAACGAGGAAUACCUUGUAAGCGCGGGUCAUCAUCCCGCGCUGAAUACGUCCCUGCCCUUUGUACACACCGCCCGUCGCUACUACCGAUUGAAUGGUUUAGUGAGAUCCUUGGAUCGGCCCUGUCGCGGCUGGCAACGGCCGCGUCGGCGCGUCGAGAAGACGAUCAAACUUGAUCAUUUAGAGGAAGUAAAAGUCGUAACA